GACGUAGGGCGCGAGCGUUGUUCGGAAUUACUGGGCGUAAAGCGCACGUAGGCGGCUUUGUAAGUUAGAGGUGAAAGCCCGGGGCUCAACUCCGGAAUUGCCUUUAAGACUGCAUCGCUAGAAUUGUGGAGAGGUAAGUGGAAUUCCGAGUGUAGAGGUGAAAUUCGUAGAUAUUCGGAAGAACACCAGUGGCGAAGGCGACUUACUGGACACAUAUUGACGCUGAGGUGCGAAAGCGUGGGGAGCAAACAGG
This 253-nucleotide ribosomal RNA is filed under the name uncultured bacterium. RNAcentral describes it as "partial 16S ribosomal RNA". It matches the Rfam family "Bacterial small subunit ribosomal RNA", at positions 524 to 776 of the family's 1533-position model. The record is from RNAcentral.